CACUAACAGGGUUUUUUAUUAAAAACACUGCUUUUCAACGCUCUAUGUAUUUAAGUGACAUAGAGCGUUGAAAAGCAGUGAAAUUCAGUCAAUUUUUAUUAUACAGUGCCAUUGUAGCACUAAAAGGACAUCUUUCGAAAUCUUUAUACAACAAUUUUCUUUUGUUUUUUGUAAGGAUACACUGUUUAGCCUGUUCAGCUUUUUAUCAAAGUCAUGCUGAUUAUGCGGAAACUAUCUUACGCGCCUUUGCAAGUGAUGUAAAAAGAUUUGGAUCUGCUUAUAAUUACUCUGCAUUUCUGUUUGAAAAUUAUCAAGGGUAUUUAAAGCAUUUAAUACAUAAACCUUAUUUACCACUUCAACAGGUUAUCCGGUGUAUGUCUGAAAGAAAUGGAUCCAUUAUAAGAAACUCUGAUAAAUGUAUGAAGAAAGGCAUUCCCAGGAAGCUGCUUGAAAAUGGUCCUAUUGUUUUAAAAGCACAAACAGAGUGUCUACAGUAUUAAAAAAUUACUUUAAAUGGAAUUUUUUACUCUACUUCAAAAGGAAACAAUUGCAUAAAAAUAAAAAAUGACUUUUGUUUAAUUUGCAACAUAUUAAAAUUUCAUGGUGAUAAUAGGCAUUUUAUUGUUUAUAAAAAAUUUCUUACUAUUGAACAUUUCUUUAGAUAUCCUGCAAAUUCUUUCGAAUGUUUUGGUAUAGUAAAGAUCUCUUAGUUAUCAUGUCAGUAUCAAUAUGUCACAACAGAUGAAAUACAGAAAAAAUAUGUUAUACUACCAUGCAAGUCCAAAUUUGUUUGUAUUUCUCUGUCUAUGAAUCCUCAAAUACAUAAAUAAUAAACUGGAAUUUUUAUUUUUAUUUUUUUGCUAAAUUUUUGUAUUAGCGCUCAUUUGCAUAUCAGUAUUAGUAUUUGAUACUACUGAUUUUUAUGUUUAUCUUUUUAUUUCAGUUAGUAAUGUAAUAUUUAGUUGAAUUUGAGGAUAAAGUGGCAGUGGUUCCUGAUUGCUGGUUGUUAAAAGAAUCAGCUAAAUGUUAUUGGCCUCAGGGAAUUGGUGCUACACAAUGGUCAAAAAUGAAAAAGUUACCGAUUCCUAAUCACAGUGAUUGGCCUCUUUAUUCUUAUAUAAGAAUAUUGAAAAUUGGAGACUAUGAAAAAAAUGAAAUAGGCAGAGGCUAAAUCUUUGCACUACACAAAUAUUUCUUGAAGUUGUUCGGAAAAAAAACAUGAUUUAAAGAGGAAAAAUUUGCAAACACAAUGGAGUCCUGAAAAUUCACUUGAGAAAAAGGUAAAAAAAUGAAAAUUCGAAAAUCAGGAAAAAGAAAAAAUCAUGUAGACAGUCAUUUUCAACCACUUCCACAGAUCGAAUUGAUAAACCUUCACCUGCUAGUUCUAGCACAAACAUCACAUCUUCAAUUCUGUUGUUAAACAGUUGGAGGAAAUUAAUUAAGCGC
Molecule: non-coding RNA, 1446 nt
Organism: Hydra vulgaris (swiftwater hydra)
Lineage: Eukaryota; Metazoa; Cnidaria; Hydrozoa; Anthoathecata; Hydridae
Source: RefSeq, a predicted model, not a curated record